Molecule: ribosomal RNA, 450 nt
Filed under: uncultured Paracoccus sp.
Lineage: Bacteria; Pseudomonadati; Pseudomonadota; Alphaproteobacteria; Rhodobacterales; Paracoccaceae
Description: partial 16S ribosomal RNA
Source: RNAcentral
CACGGAGUUAGCCGGGGCUUCUUCUGCUGGUACCGUCAUUAUCUUCCCAGCUGAAAGGGCUUUACAACCCUAAGGCCUUCAUCACUCACGCGGCAUGGCUAGAUCAGGGUUGCCCCCAUUGUCUAAGAUUCCCCACUGCUGCCUCCCGUAGGAGUCUGGGCCGUGUCUCAGUCCCAGUGUGGCUGAUCAUCCUCUCAAACCAGCUAUGGAUCGUCGGCUUGGUAGGCCAUUACCCCACAACUACCUAAUCCAACGCGGGCUAAUCCUUCCCCGAUAAAUCUUUCCCCCAAAGGGCGUAUACGGUAUUACCCCCAGUUUCCCAGGACUAUUCCGUAGAGAAGGGCAUAUUCCCAGCGUUACUCACCCGUCCGCCGCUAACCCCGAAGGUCCGCUCGACUUGCAUGUGUUAGGCCUGCCGCCAGCGUUCGUUCUGAGCCAGGAUCAAACUCU